Molecule: ribosomal RNA, 793 nt
Filed under: uncultured bacterium
Lineage: Bacteria
Description: bacterial SSU rRNA
Rfam family: Bacterial small subunit ribosomal RNA
Source: RNAcentral
AGAGUUUGAUCCUGGCUCAGGAUGAACGCUAGCGGCAGGCUUAAUACAUGCAAGUCGAACGGCAGCACGUGUAGCAAUACAUGGUGGCGAGUGGCGCACGGGUGCGUAACACGUAUGUAACCUACCUCUAACAGUGGCAUAACAAUGAGAAAUUAUUGCUAAUUCCGCAUGUGGUUAAUUUGAGGCAUCUUAGAUUAACUAAAGAUUUAUCGGUUAGAGCUGGGCAUGCGUCCCAUUAGCUAGUUGGUGAGGUAACGGCUCACCAAGGCAUCGAUGGGUAGGGGCUCUGAGAGGAUUGUCCCCCACACUGGUACUGAGACACGGACCAGACUCCUACGGGAGGCAGCAGUAAGGAAUAUUGGGCAAUGGACGCAAGUCUGACCCAGCCAUGCCGCGUGAAGGAAGACGGCCCUAUGGGUUGUAAACUUCUUUUCUCAGGGGGUAAACUCCGGAACGUGUUCCGGACUGAAAGUACCUGAGGAAUAAGCAUCGGCUAACUCCGUGCCAGCAGCCGCGGUAAUACGGAGGAUGCGAGCGUUAUCCGGAUUCAUUGGGUUUAAAGGGUGCGCAGGCGGAUAUAUAAGUCGGAGGUGAAAUUCUGAUGCUCAACAUCAGCCGUGCCUUCGAUACUGUAUAUCUAGAGUCAAGUUGGAGUAGGCAGAAUGUGUUGUGUAGCGGUGAAAUGCUUAGAUAUAACACAGAACACCGAUCGCGAAGGCAGCUUACUAAACUUUGACUGACGCUCAUGCACGAAAGCGUGGGGAUCAAACAGGAUUAGAUACCCUGGUAGUCG